Molecule: small RNA, 1729 nt
Filed under: Histoplasma capsulatum
Lineage: Eukaryota; Fungi; Ascomycota; Eurotiomycetes; Onygenales; Ajellomycetaceae
Also listed under: 1 other name
Description: hypothetical RNA
Source: RNAcentral
AGCUCCUUUGAAAGCCCCCUCCCUCCCAUGACGGACGAGGGGGAAGGGAAGGUUUUUUCGGUGGGGUUACGACGUCGCUCCCAGAAAUUACCCAUUCAGAGCAAAACGAAUAACAGUAAUCAUAACCUUGAAAUGUGUGCAGUUAGUUUUUUUUUUUUUUAACGCUGAGGCUACGGCUCGUGUACCAGCUGCAAACAGCAAGCGAACAAAAGAAGAAAGAAAGAAAGCAAGAUCAAACUCGACCUCUGGUCCUUACGUAGGCAUUUGUCAUCACUACACAGAGUGGUUACAUACAUACUCCGGACAAAGUCCAGGGCAAACAAGUCCCACCAACCCUCUAUACAUAUUAUUUCUCAGGGACUGUUGUUACGUUGUCUACCAUUUGUUGUUGUUUUGAGUUGAAACUUCCAAGCUCACAGCAACGAGAACAGAGGGUUUUUUUUUAUUUUUAAGUUCGCGCGCAAUCUCUGUUUGUUAUUUAUUUGAGUUUUACUCGGAACAUUGGUGAGAGAGGGGUAUCCAUGGAUUUCGUAUAUAUAUAUAACGAACUUAUACGGAGUACUAUCAUAUACAGGUAAUUAAAUUAAUUUGAACAGGCGCCACAGAAGUGGCAUCCAACUUAUUCUAUUUCUGCAAUAUAGAUUAUUUGCUGCUUCCUUUUGCUGAACUUAAUUCAACAGAAUCUCUCCUAUACUAAUCAGCAGUUGUGCUACUAAAUACGAUACAUCAUGUGCGAUGGUUAAUCUGGAGCUAGCUAACUUAACUACCAAGGUAUGGAUAUACGGUUCAUCAUGUGCGGUCGCUAAGGCAAACCACCCGACUCUGUAUAUAAUUGAAAUGUAGUUUUUCGCGUAUUUUCAGUAUUCAUAUGACCUGCUAGCUUCUUACAAUUAGCUUCGUCACCACCAUUUCUUGGAGUUCUCCUCGUCAAAGAAGACAAACAAGACAAACACGAGCAGGUACUCUCUCAUACCAUAUUAGCGUGGUGGUAUGAAGUGGGUGCUGAAGUACGUGAAAUUAUAAAUUUGCUUAAAAUUAAUUCUUGUCAAACAUUGAAAACCUAUCUUUAUAAGUCAUGCAGUAAAUUAGUUAGACGAAACUUAUAGAACUAAAAUUUGUAGCUUUUUAUGAUAUGAGACAGCAAAUAAAAAGUUGAAAUUUGUUUGUAUUUUGAGAUGGCCCGCUCGCUUAUGUGGCCCGCCAUUACAAAGCUUAUUUUUUUGAAUUCUCCCUCUCCCUAUCUCUAUCUUUAUUAUGUGGUAUUACGAAGACUUUGGUGAUGUAUCUUUAUUGAGAUAUUGUAUUAUGAAGAUGGAUGAUAUCGAGGAGCUCUGAUGUGGGGAUUUUUGUGCUAAUGCUAGUGAGAUAUAUAACAAGUAUCUAACACAGAUUACUCCCUCCCACUCAUCCGCCCACCUUCCUGCCUGCCUGCCUGCCUGCCUGUCUAUAAACAAUGUCAAGAUGUAGUGAUAUCUAGUGAUGAUAUCUAAUGGUAUGAAUAUCUAACAAUAUCUACCCAUGAUAUUUAUCGAUGAUGUUGAUUGCUCUGUGGCGGGUACGCAUUCCUGAGUAAUGUGGCGGCUUCCAUUCUUUUUUUCUUUUCUGUUUCUUUCACGCCAUUCCGACACUUAACCACUUUUGAAGUCAGAAAGGGCUUCUCUAAAGUAGUACUGAGUGUGAAAGAGUCAUGUUCCAGAGCAUUAGACUGAAUAUUUCAUCGGAAAGGGUC